This 753-nucleotide unclassified non-coding RNA is filed under the name Hevea brasiliensis (rubber tree). Lineage: Eukaryota; Viridiplantae; Streptophyta; Magnoliopsida; Malpighiales; Euphorbiaceae. The record is from RNAcentral.
UGUGCCUUGUGAAAGCAAAAUCUUGACAAACUACUGAACUAGAAUAGUCCAGGGUAGAAAACUAAUUCCCAUCGCAAUUCAGUCAUCUCAAGUAAAGCGCAUUGCCCAUAUAUUUUCACAACAUUGAGAUCACAUUUGCCCUCCUUAAGCUGAAUGCAGAGUCCAGAAUUUAUGAGUUUUCAAAGUCAUAAGUGUCUUUGAUCAAUCAAGAAGAGGACCUCUGAAUCAUAUCCUCUGCAGGCCAGUACGUGCGUAUGUCCUCUGCAUUGAUUAUUAAUUAUUUUAUUCAUUCUUUUACAUAUGAAAAACUAAUAAUAAGGCAAAGGAUAAAUGAAAGGCAACAAGCCUCAUGGAGCUUCUUUCUUCUCCUUUUUAACUCAAUAGGGAAUCAUCUCAGCAUGAAAAAUAAUCUGAAAGCUUUGUAAAUGAAAAUUAACAGCAAGAAGACACAAUAACAAGAGAAAAAAAGGGAAUUUAACAUGAGCAAACAGAGCUGAGACGGCUCCAAAGACUAUAAUUAUCAUAAUCAUUGAUGGAAUAUGCCUCUGUUGCUGCUGAAAAAUAUGCUAAAAUAAAAUAAGUUAGGAGAGUUGUUACUAACAAAGCUGUUAUUGACAGCACUUCAGUUGAUUAUUUGAAUGCUUGAUUUUGGCAGAGUUUCAUGGAUUUAGUUGCUCAAACUCUUGUAUAAAUAAUGCAUUCUAUCAAUAAUAUAAGAUUAGACACUUUCGGUAAGAUAAGAUGAGACUGAAA